RNAcentral lists this ribosomal RNA (2891 nucleotides) under Vibrio parahaemolyticus. Its description in RNAcentral is "23S ribosomal RNA". It matches the Rfam family "Bacterial large subunit ribosomal RNA". The record is from RNAcentral. Lineage: Bacteria; Pseudomonadati; Pseudomonadota; Gammaproteobacteria; Vibrionales; Vibrionaceae.
GGUUAAGUGACUAAGCGUACACGGUGGAUGCCUUGGCAGUCAGAGGCGAUGAAAGACGUAGUAACUUGCGAUAAGCCCAGAUUAGGUAGUAACAACCAUUUGAGUCUGGGAUUUCUGAAUGGGGAAACCCACUUACAUAAGUAAGUAUCAUUAACUGAAUACAUAGGUUAAUGAGGCGAACCGGGGGAACUGAAACAUCUAAGUACCCCGAGGAAAAGAAAUCAACCGAGAUUCCGAAAGUAGCGGCGAGCGAAAUUGGACUAGCCCUUAAGCUUUACACGCGUUAGACGAACGGUCUGGAAAGUCCGACGAUACAGGGUGAUAGUCCCGUAGUUGACGACGUGUGUUCAGUGAAAUCGAGUAGGGCGGGACACGUGAUAUCCUGUCUGAAUAUGGGGGGACCAUCCUCCAAGGCUAAAUACUACUGACUGACCGAUAGUGAACCAGUACCGUGAGGGAAAGGCGAAAAGAACCCCUGUGAGGGGAGUGAAAUAGAACCUGAAACCGUGUACGUACAAGCAGUAGGAGCAGGCUUUGUCCUGUGACUGCGUACCUUUUGUAUAAUGGGUCAGCGACUUAUAUUCAGUGGCAAGGUUAACCAUCUAGGGGAGCCGUAGGGAAACCGAGUCUUAACUGGGCGUUCAGUCUCUGGAUAUAGACCCGAAACCAGGUGAUCUAGCCAUGGGCAGGUUGAAGGUUGAGUAACAUCAACUGGAGGACCGAACCGACUAAUGUUGAAAAAUUAGCGGAUGACUUGUGGCUAGGGGUGAAAGGCCAAUCAAACCUGGAGAUAGCUGGUUCUCCCCGAAAGCUAUUUAGGUAGCGCCUCGGACGAAUACUACUGGGGGUAGAGCACUGUUAAGGCUAGGGGGUCAUCCCGACUUACCAACCCUUUGCAAACUCCGAAUACCAGUAAGUACUAUCCGGGAGACACACGGCGGGUGCUAACGUCCGUCGUGGAGAGGGAAACAACCCAGACCGCCAGCUAAGGUCCCAAAUUACUACUAAGUGGGAAACGAUGUGGGAAGGCUCAGACAGCCAGGAUGUUGGCUUAGAAGCAGCCAUCAUUUAAAGAAAGCGUAAUAGCUCACUGGUCGAGUCGGCCUGCGCGGAAGAUGUAACGGGGCUAAGUAGUAAACCGAAGCUGCGGCAAUGUGCUUUUGCACAUUGGGUAGGGGAGCGUUCUGUAAGCGGUUGAAGGUGUGUGGUAACGCAUGCUGGACGUAUCAGAAGUGCGAAUGCUGACAUGAGUAACGAUAAAGGGGGUGAAAAACCUCCUCGCCGGAAGACCAAGGGUUCCUGUCCAACGUUAAUCGGGGCAGGGUAAGUCGACCCCUAAGGCGAGGCCGAAAGGCGUAGUCGAUGGGAAACGGGUUAAUAUUCCCGUACUUCUUACAAUUGCGAUGGGGGGACGGAGAAGGCUAGGUGGGCCUGGCGACGGUUGUCCAGGUUCAAGUGCGUAGGCUUAAGAGUUAGGUAAAUCCGGCUCUUUUUAAGGCUGAGACACGACGUCGAGCACCUACGGGUGUGAAGUCAUUGAUGCCAUGCUUCCAGGAAAAGCCUCUAAGCUUCAGAUUGUAAGGAAUCGUACCCCAAACCGACACAGGUGGUCGGGUAGAGAAUACCAAGGCGCUUGAGAGAACUCGGGUGAAGGAACUAGGCAAAAUGGUACCGUAACUUCGGGAGAAGGUACGCUCUUGAUGGUGAAGUCCCUUGCGGAUGGAGCUGACGAGAGUCGCAGAUACCAGGUGGCUGCAACUGUUUAUUAAAAACACAGCACUGUGCAAAAUCGUAAGAUGACGUAUACGGUGUGACGCCUGCCCGGUGCCGGAAGGUUAAUUGAUGGGGUUAGACUUCGGUCGAAGCUCUUGAUCGAAGCCCCGGUAAACGGCGGCCGUAACUAUAACGGUCCUAAGGUAGCGAAAUUCCUUGUCGGGUAAGUUCCGACCUGCACGAAUGGCGUAAUGAUGGCCACGCUGUCUCCACCCGAGACUCAGUGAAAUUGAAAUCGCUGUGAAGAUGCAGUGUACCCGCGGCUAGACGGAAAGACCCCGUGAACCUUUACUACAGCUUGGCACUGAACAUUGACCCUACAUGUGUAGGAUAGGUGGGAGGCUUUGAAGCACGUACGCCAGUAUGUGUGGAGCCGUCCUUGAAAUACCACCCUUGUAGUGUUGAUGUUCUAACGUCGACCCCUUAUCGGGGUUGCGGACAGUGCCUGGUGGGUAGUUUGACUGGGGCGGUCUCCUCCCAAAGAGUAACGGAGGAGCACGAAGGUGGGCUAAUCACGGUUGGACAUCGUGAGGUUAGUGCAAUGGCAUAAGCCCGCUUGACUGCGAGAAUGACAAUUCGAGCAGGUGCGAAAGCAGGUCAUAGUGAUCCGGUGGUUCUGAAUGGAAGGGCCAUCGCUCAACGGAUAAAAGGUACUCCGGGGAUAACAGGCUGAUACCGCCCAAGAGUUCAUAUCGACGGCGGUGUUUGGCACCUCGAUGUCGGCUCAUCACAUCCUGGGGCUGAAGUCGGUCCCAAGGGUAUGGCUGUUCGCCAUUUAAAGUGGUACGCGAGCUGGGUUUAGAACGUCGUGAGACAGUUCGGUCCCUAUCUGCCGUGGGCGUUGGAAGAUUGAAGGGGGCUGCUCCUAGUACGAGAGGACCGGAGUGGACGAACCUCUGGUGUUCGGGUUGUGUCGCCAGACGCAUUGCCCGGUAGCUAAGUUCGGAAUCGAUAACCGCUGAAAGCAUCUAAGCGGGAAGCGAGCCCUGAGAUGAGUCUUCCCUGAUACUUUAAGUAUCCUAAAGGGUUGUCGGAGACUACGACGUUGAUAGGUCAGGUGUGUAAGUGCUGUGAGGCAUUGAGCUAACUGAUACUAAUUGCCCGUGAGGCUUAACCAU